RNAcentral lists this long non-coding RNA (799 nucleotides) under Gossypium barbadense (sea-island cotton). RNAcentral's name for it is "long non-coding RNA (GBAR_LNC015128)". Lineage: Eukaryota; Viridiplantae; Streptophyta; Magnoliopsida; Malvales; Malvaceae. The record is from RNAcentral.
AAUUAUCAUGAAACAUCAUGAUUAUAAUGGAUAUUGGUGUUGAAUUUUAAUUAGUUGAAAUUGUAGUAGGCCAAUUUGCCCGGCCCGUUAAUAAAAUAAACCAAACCAAAUAAUAAGUCCAAUUAAUGUCCAUUUUACAUAGCCCAAAUCACUACCCAAAUACAGCCAAACCCUAGCCCAACAGGCCCACAACACAAACAUUUCAGCAAACCCUAGGGCGCCGCUCCUGCCUCUACCCAACCCCAGCGCCGCACGCCUCUUCGCCACGUGCGAUGCCUCACACGAGCCGCUCCAUGUCCCAUCUGGCCCUCGUACGACCGUACCUGCAACGCAACAAACAAGCAAAAACAAGCAGAGGCAGCAAAAAGCAUAGAAAAACAGAAAUAGCAGAGGGGGAUUUUGUAUCAUUUUCUUUUUAUUAUAAUUUGUAUUUUCGGGGACUAUAAAACCCCAUAUUUCUGUAUUGUGGGGGGCUUCUUCUUCCCUUUUUACACACAUUGAAUACAAAAAAAGAUUAAAGAGAAAUACAAAAGAAAUUUGUUCUUUGAAUAGAGGUGAUUGUUUCGUUCUAUUUUUGUUUGAUAUUCGUCAUUUUUAGAUUAUUUAUUCUUCUUUUUAUUUUAUUUUUCGCUCAAAAUAUAAAGAAGGGGGAAAAGGGAACCAUACCUUUUUCGCCAGAUUCACCGGAUUAGUGUCGUCUCCGUCGCAAUCGGAGCGUCGGCAAGAGGGAACGGCGGCAUAGCAGCUAAGGUUGAAAACCCUAGCAGAGAGCUUUUGCUUUCUUUUGUUUUUUUUCUUC